ACACGAACCGUACAAACGUUAUUCGGAAUCACUGGGCUUAAAGGGUGCGUAGGCGGCUUGGAAAGUUGGGUGUGAAAUCCCUCGGCUCAACCGAGGAAUUGCGCUCAAUACUGCCAGGCUAGAGGGAGACAGAGGUGAGCGGAACUUAGGGUGGAGCGGUGAAAUGCGUUGAUAUCCUAAGGAACACCAGUGGCGAAGGCGGCUCACUGGGUCUCUUCUGACGCUGAGGCACGAAAGCUGGGGGAGCGAACGGGAUUAGAAACCCUAGUAGUCC
Molecule: ribosomal RNA, 274 nt
Filed under: uncultured bacterium
Lineage: Bacteria
Description: partial 16S ribosomal RNA
Rfam family: Bacterial small subunit ribosomal RNA
Source: RNAcentral